RNA transcript from Rana temporaria (common frog), 9478 nucleotides. It is a transcript of the gene named protocadherin 7, with no coding region annotated. NCBI's taxonomy places the organism in Eukaryota, Metazoa, Chordata, Amphibia, Anura, Ranidae. The transcript has 4 exons. The record is from RefSeq and is a predicted model, not a curated record.
UGCAAUAUCAUUUGUGAAUCGUUCUCAGGGCUGCAGAUACAUAUUGCUAACACAUGCAGGUAGACCGACUGCGGCUCCCGCCCUCCAUACAGCCUCCGGACAGCCAGCAACCGGCAUACAGCAUCGGGCGAUUACCGCAAUACAUGCCUGGGAUCCUACAAAGAGAAAGUGUGGGGGGGCCACUGACAUCACACAUCACAUCCCUCCGCUGUCCCGGGAACUGACACACACACACCGGGGACCGGAGGAGAUCACCACCGACCCCAGGACCGGAGGAGAUCACCAGGACCGGAGGAGAUCACCAGGACCGGAGGAGAUCACCAGGACCGGAGGAGAUCAGCGCCAAACUAGGACUGACUGGUGAUCAGGACUGGGGGUACUGCUGAUCAGCACCAUAAACUGGACUACUGGAGGGGAGAUCAGCAUCAGGAGGACCACUGCUGAUCAGAACCAGACCAGGACUGACUGCUGAUCAGAACCAGACCAGGACUGACUGCUGAUCAGCCAGCAUCAUAAACCGAACUGGGGGGAGAUCAGCACCAGGAGGACCACUGCUGAUCAGAACCAAGGCAGGAGAACUGCUGAUCAGGACUGGGGGAAAUCAGCACCAAGAGGGGAGAUGAGCAUUGCACUGCUAGAGGAGUACAGGACCACAUCAGCCUGAGAGAGGAGAACAAGGGAUACACAUUAUCUUCAAUAUUCUAUAUUUCCAUAGAGGAGUACAAGGGACACACAUUACCGGAUCACAUCAGCACUCAUCUCCAAUAUUCUAUCCCAGCCAUAAAGGAGUACAGCUGCUGAUCAAGCACCCAUAGAGGAGUACAAGGGACACUCAGCACUCAUCUCCAAUAUUCCAUCCUAUAGAGGAGUACAAGGGACACUCGUCUCCAAAAUGCUAUCCUAGAAAGGAAUACAAGAGCUCAGCACCCAUUGAGGACACAAUAUACUCAUCUCCAAUAUCCUAUAUAUCCUGCAGAGGAGAUCAGCACCCAUAAAGGAGUACAAGGGACACGCAGUGUUCUCAGCACUCAUCAUAGAGGAGUAGAGGAACUCACCACCUAUAAAGGAGUACAAGGGACACUAUAGUCAUCUUCACUAUCCUAUAGAGGAGGAGUAGUAGGAGAAGAUCAGCACCCAGUAAAGGUCCCUGCACCCUGCCCCGGAGCCCCGCAGGGGAGGGGGGGGUCAGGUCAUAAGCUGAGUCCCGGAGCUCAGGGAUCAUCUCAUUGACAGAGGAGUAAUCGGAGAGCUAUGAGCGGGUAACUUUACCCCGGGACAACACACACCGCUCCCGCCCCUCUAGAGGCUCCGCUCUCCCCCAGCACACAGCUCCGCGGCUCGGCUCCGCAGCCAUGAGGACCUUAUGGGGUUGCUGCGCGUUCCUGCUGCGGCUGUCGCUGACUCUGGCCGCCUCCAACAAGCUGCUGAAGUACCGGAUCGCCGAGGAAGGGCAGCCCGACAUCAGGAUCGGUAACGUGGGUUCGGAUAUCAGCAUAGUGGCCGGUUCCGGCGAGGUGACCUUCAGCCUGGAGUCCGGUUCCGACUUCUUCAAGAUAGACAACAUGACCGGAGAGCUGAGCACCAACGAGCGCCGCAUAGACCGGGAGAAGCUGCCGCAGUGUCAGAUGAUCUUCGAUGAGAACGAAUGCUUCAUUGACUUCGAGGUGUCGGUGAUCGGUCCUUCGCAGAGCUGGGUGGAGCUGUUCGAAGGCAGGGUGGUCAUCCUGGACAUUAACGACAACACCCCGACCUUCCCGUCCCCGGUGCUCACCCUGACCGUGGAGGAGAACCGGCCGGUGGGGACCCUCUACCUGCUGCCCACCGCCACAGACCGCGACUUCGGCCGUAACGGCAUCGAACGCUACGAGCUGAUCCCGGACGCCGGGGAGAGCCUGUUCGUGUCCGGGCGCCGGGGCGGCGGGGAGAGCGUCCUCUACCCGGGCAAGAGACGGAUGGAGACGGACGGCAGGAGCAGCGUGUUCGAGCUGCAGGUAGCCGACACCUCCGACGGGGAGAAGCAGCCGCAGCUCAUCGUUAAGGGGGCUCUGGACCGGGAACAGCGGGACUCGUAUGAACUGACCCUCCGGGUCCGGGACGGCGGGGAACAACCCCGCUCCUCACAGUCCAUCCUCCGGGUCCUCAUCACCGAUGUCAAUGAUAACAGCCCCCGAUUCGAGAAGAGCGUGUACGAGGCGGACCUGACGGAGAACAGCGCCCCGGGGACCCCCAUCCUGCAGCUCAAGGCCACCGAUUACGAUGUCGGGGUGAACGGGCAGAUCGAGUAUGUGUUCGGCGCGGCCACCGAGGCGGUGAGGCGGCAGCUCCGAUUGGACGAGAACUCGGGCUGGCUGAGCGUCAUGCAUAAGAUAGACCGCGAGGAGGUCAAUCAGCUCCGCUUCACCGUCAUGGCCCGGGACCGCGGCCAGCCCCCGAAGACCGACAAAGCCACAGUCAUCCUCAAUAUCAAGGAUGAGAACGAUAAUGUGCCGCUGAUUGACAUCAGGAAGAUCGGCCGCAUCCCGGUGAAGGAUGGCAUGGCCAGUGUGACCGAGGAUGUCUUGGUGGACACCCCUAUCGCCCUGGUGCAGGUGUCUGAUAGGGACCAGGGCGAGAAUGGAGUGGUCACCUGCACCGUGGUUGGGGAUGUCCCCUUCCAACUCAAACCGGCCAGUGACAGCGAGGGGGAUCAAAAUAAGAAGAAGUAUUUCCUGCACACCUCAGCCCCCCUGGACUAUGAGAACGUCAAGGAGUACAAUGUCAUCAUAGUGGCUGUGGACUCUGGUAGCCCCAGCUUGUCCAGCAACAACUCCUUACUGGUAAAGGUGGUGGACACCAAUGACAACCCCCCAGUCUUCAGCCAGCCAGUGGUCGAGGUGGCCUUCCCAGAGAACAACGUCCCUGGCGAAAGGGUGGCCACGGUUAUAGCCACCGACGCCGACAGUGGCAAGAACGCUGAAAUCGCCUACUCCCUGGAGCAGUCGGUGGCUGGGGUUUUCUCCAUCCACCCCGACUCCGGGGACAUCACCGCCAACAUAGUCCUGGACCGAGAGGACAACGACCGAUACGAGUUUAAAGUAGUGGCCAAGGAUAAGGGUCUGCCCACCACCAUGCAAGGCACCGCCACCGUGGUGGUCCAAGUGGCCGACACCAAUGACAAUGACCCCAAGUUCAUGCAGGAGGUCUUUAACUUCUAUGUCAAGGAGAACCUUCAACCCAACAGCCCUGUGGGGAUGGUGACAGUGAUGGACGCAGACAAAGGUCGCAAUGCAGAGAUGAGUUUGUUCAUAGAGGAGGACAAUGGCAUCUUCAAAAUAGAGAACAACACUGGCACCAUCUGCUCCACCGUCUCCUUUGACAUGGAGCAACAAACUUCUUACACUUUCAAAGUCAAAGCUGUGGAUGGUGGGGACCCCCCAAGGUCUGCUACAGCCACAGUUUCCCUCUUUGUCAUGGAUGAGAAUGACAAUGCCCCCAUCAUCACCAGCCCCAUCAACAGCUCCUAUACUGUGGUUCCCCCUUCCAGUGGUGUCAGGACAGUGGUGGCCACAGUUGUGGCCAUGGACACUGACUCUGGAGUCAAUAAAGAACUCAACUUUAGCAUUGUUGGAGGAAACCCCUUUAAGCUCUUUGAAAUUAACCCGGCCAGUGGGGUGGUUUCUCUCAUUGGGAAGCUGGCCUCCAAGCACUAUGGCCUUCACCGCUUGGUCAUCCAAGUCAAUGACAGCGGUCAACCUCCACAGUCCACCACAGCCCUUGUCCAUGUGUUCAUCAAUGAGACUGUCUUCAAUGCUUCAGUGGUGGAUUCCCAAAUUGCCAGAAGUUUGCAUACCCCCUUAACCCAGGACAUAGCAGGGGACCCCAGCUAUGAAAUGAGCAAGCAAAGACUGAGCAUAGUGAUUGGUGUGGUGGCUGGCAUCAUGACUGUCAUCCUGAUCAUCCUGGUGGUGGUCAUGGCACGCUACUGUAGGGCCAAAAGUAACAAUGGCUAUGAAGCUGGCAAAAAAGAUCACGAGGACUUCUUCACACCUCAGCAGCAUGACAAAUCCAAAAAACCCAAAAAGGAUAAGAAAAAUAAAAAGUCCAAACAGCCCUUGUAUAGCAGCAUAGUGACAGUGGAGGCAUCAAAGCCAAACGGGCAGAGAUAUGACAGUGUGAAUGAAAAGCUGUCUGACAGCCCCAGCAUGGGAAGAUACAGAACUGUGAAUGGAGGUCCCGCAAGUCCUGACCUAGCAAGGCAUUACAAAUCUAGUUCCCCGCUACCUACUGUGCAGCUUCAUCCCCAGUCACCUACCGCUGGGAAAAAGCACCAGGCUGUGCAAGAUUUACCACCAGCCAACACUUUUGUAGGAGCUGGAGACAACAUCUCAAUUGGAUCAGAUCACUGUUCUGAGUACAGUUGUCAGACCAAUAACAAGUACAGCAAACAGUCACAUUUUAUGUUUUGAUUUCUUCAUACGGGCCAUUUCACCUGGAUCAAGUGCAAAAGUUGAUUUGGUCUUUCAGCAAUACAUCUUCCCUGGUAUUCUAUCCUGCAAGUUGAUUGACUUCAGAUUCCCCUACAGUGCCAGUACUCAUGUAGGGAUAAUAGCGGCAAUUUAUACCACUUGAUGAGCAAUUUGGUGCUCUUGUCAACUUUUUACUGGUCACUGCACACUCCUCCUGUGAACCUCAGCUGCGAUCUUGAAAAAUAUCUUUCUUAAAGAGCUAGAGAAUGUGAUUGUUGGACUGUUUUGCAUUCAGAGUCACUCUAAUAAGCGUGUGUAGAUUGACUCUGCUGCCUAAAUUAUGAAAGAAGCUUCAACUGACGUGCAUCGGAAACACUGGAGACUGAAAACCAUUUAUAUAUACAUUUUAAAGAACUAUUAACUGCUUUUAAAGUAUUAUGUUUUUACUUGCCUUAUUACAAAAAACAAAAAAAAUAACAAACAAAAAACAAAAAAAUGAAUUUCACAAAGCAAGACUGUGGAAUACCAAUGGAAUCCAGCGUUUGGUUAAAGUUUGCAUUCAAAAAGGUACGCUGUAUGUAUAAAUGGUUCUAUUGAACGUUCAAUCAAGUUUUUUUUCUUGAAUGCCUAUGAUCUCUUGUGAUUUCUGAAAAUGUACAAUGUUACAAUGAUUUGUUUAAAUGUUAUGUAAUUUUCUUGCAAUUGUUGGAUAAACAAGGAGACUAUGACGACCUUAAGAAGGACAUUUUUAUUUUCUUAUAAAAUAAACCAAUAAAAUAUAUUUAUUAUAUAAAGAUAAUAUUUAUUAUAGAUAUUAAAAAAGUAAAAAAAAAUAAAACUUUCAGAGCUUUAAGUUAAAGCUUGAAAUUAAUGGUGUUGAUGAAAUAAUAAAAAUUGCAUGUCUACACAACAAACACGGAAGCAUUUUUAACAUAUAGACAACUUGCCUGGCUAAAUUUUAAACGUGAAUGCACUAUCAAUAGAUACAUAAUGUAUAUUUAGAUUUUCUAUAUAUACCACAUAAAGUCAUUUUUUAAGCAUAAAAGGUGGAAGUGGAUUUGGUCAGCUUAGACACUUAACCAAUAUGGCUGCCUGUGUUUUACCAACCUCUCUUUAACUUUGCCUACCAAGUGAUAUUGGUACACCUUUCCAAAUGAAGGUGUACAUGCUCGAGUUUUUAUAACUGCACUGAAAUAGUGGUUGGCAUCUUGUAUCAACAGAUUAUUUUAUCUAACCAUGAUAAAGCCACAAUAAUAUUUUAAGGCUUGUUAGAAAUACGUAUGGGAGCCAUAAUUCUUAACCUACAGGUUUUUGUCUCUUUCUCUCUCAUUUAAUGAACAAGAAGACCAGAUAUAUACAUGAAUUCUAUUCUUUUAUUGGAAUGUAUAACAACAGAAUAUAGCAGAUUGCUUUUCAUGUUCCUGGGCUAUUCCUUAAAGCAACUUAAACUAUAAAGAGCUACAUAUAACAUUUUCACCCACACACAUAUGUAAUAGAUUUGUCCUCAGCUUGAAAUUCUUUUGAAAUACUUGACACUGUAGUUCUUCGGUCCACUCUGUUUUUCUCCUAAGGUCCUUUUCUGGUUAGAUAGCCCCUUAGACUGAGACUCCAUCUUAGUUUUUCUUUUUGAUAAAACUCUGUAGUAAUUACAUAUGUGGAUGCAAUUUCAUGUUCUUUUAUAUAUAAAAUGUUUUUUUUUUCUGUCCACUGAUCCAAUAGAAUGUUAUAGUUAGUCCUGCUUUGCAAGUGCAGGUUUUCACCAUGUGACUUUUACAUUCAAGGGUGUUUGAUAACUAUGUGCCUCAUAUAAUUAGAACCCCAGUAGUUGGUAUUAGAGAUAAUUAGACCUUUCAGUAAAAUAGUUCUAAGAGAAAAGUGCGAAAUGGAAGUGUAACCUUUAUUGAAGCCAAUCAAAAAUUAUUUUGUCAAUAAGGUGAAUUCUGAUUGGUUCUAAUGAUUAUGGUGCUUCUUACUUUCAUCCAUGCACUGUUUUCUAAUUAAGGUCUGUAAAAGUUAGUUUUAGAGGUCUGUUCACUGAAGUCCAAAAUGCACUUGAUUAUCAUAUUUAGCAAAACAAAAUAUAUGCAACAUACGUUAUUGCUAGAAUUUUUGUUGAGGGUCCACAGAAAUGAUGUCACUGCCUUACAUUCUCUGCUUAAAGGGGUUUUACCUAAAAGUUUUCUACCCUAGUGAACUUGCCAUCUUGGGGCUUUGUAUGAACCCCUUCUGGAAGCAGUUGCCAAGAGCAGGUCUUUUUGGUAACCGUUUCGUCAGUAGACUAGAAACCUGAAAAAAGGCUUUUGACAUACCUAAGUGCUGAGGGGGAGGCAAGAUCCCUGGUUGUAUCAUUAUGUACAGCUCCCUUCCCUACCUCCCCCUCAAGUAUAAUCUUUAUAGAAGAACUUUUAGGAGGAACCCCCCCUUUAAUAAUCUAUUAGUUAAGACUUUGAAUUAUAUUCAUUAAACUAUUUUUGAAAGUAUAUUUUGUUAUUUUUAUACUGGCAGUGAGAUGUAAAAUAGAGCAGCGGGUUAGGCAAAUAAUUUGAUAUCCUCUAAAAUCAUAGUAAAAUACCAAAAAUGACACACUUCCCAGUUCUUUGCUAUAUCUGAGGAAGCGGUAAUCAUUUUAGAAUUGCAUAGUAUUUUACUUCCCUACCUAAAAGUAUAAUCAUAGUUGCAUAGCUUUGGGUAUGAUAAAUUAAUUUUUUUCCUUUUUGUGAGUUCUGAUUCACAGGAAGAUGAAUAAAAUUACGGGUUGAGCAUUUUUAAUAUGGGUAGACUGUUUACAUGCUUAGUUUAGAAUCACAGACAAAAUUUAGCUUGAAAGAAAGAGGCAUAUUGCAGGGUUUUAAAAAGAUUUUCUUGAGCCAUAAUGAAGUUGUUUGUAUGUAUGCAAGAACGUAUUCAAAUCGGGUCUUUUAGUGGAUUGUGACAGCAGGAUGUGUGAUUAUACAGAAUUUGAAAUUUAAAUUGAUUUUCAUCCUUUAUGUGAUCUGAAAUAAUAUUUAGGAAAUGCCUAUCAGUUAUUCCACUAGAAAUAAAUGAAUACUGUGUCUAAUUAGGUCCAGCAGAUGACCCGCGUUUGCUUCAAACAGUCAAUCAGGUUAAUGAGUAUUAAAAAAAUAAAUCAAAGAUUUCCUCUUAACUUUACUGGCCGUCUGAAGCAAUUUUUUUUUUUUGCUGUGACUAAAUGAUAUAGUAUUGUCACUAUUGCCUAAUACAUGGCGGAACACAUCCAAGGAACCAUAUAACCAAUGCACUUUAACAGUUAGGGCUGGUAUUUAAUAUGAACUGCAAACCAUCUAGCCUAUCACCAUACAUUAAAAGAUGGCAUCUAGAGGUUCCUAUAUGAACAGUCAUGUAUGUUGUAGAGUGCCCCAGGAACCGCAAAACACAUAACUCAUUAGUAUGCAAAUGUCAGCUUCAGGUCCCCCAUGCCUUACUAUUGGUUGUUGAGAUGACCCUUGAUAGGUAUAGGCCAACAGUGAAUUAUGGGAGGCAUCAGAUAAUAAGACUCUUGUUAAGAGGAGCUGGUUAAGACUUAUGGCGGCCAUACAUGGAGCAAAUUUCUUUCCUGCAACCACGGGUUGCAGAAAAUAAAUUUUCUUGAUUCCACCAUCAACACAGACAGUGUUGAUGUGAGAAUUCCUUCAGCCAGGCCAUUGUCUUCUCCCGGAAAGGGAGCAGGGAAGCGGACAAGAUUUGAACUGUGUAUGGCCAGCCUUACAUAAAUGAGUUUCUAGGGUUUAGGUCCUUCUGGGGCCCUCUAUAAAAUAUGUGCACUGCUUAGACAGGCUCUGCUAAGUGUCUGCUUUUUAUGUCUACUAAUGUUUGGAAGGCUAGUUGACUUUAACCUUAAUAUAGUCAAUUGAAUCGAUUAUGCCAUGCCUUUUAAUGUUUUUUUUUUUUUUUUAAUGUACCGACUGGUUCCUGGAUUCUUUCAUGUGUGCACCCUUAGCCAUGUAUAUUGGCAGGCCAAGUUCUGUAAUAGUCUGAGGAUACAAUAACAUGAAUAAUAAUUGAUCAGAGCCCCGUAAAGCUGAUUCUACAAUGUACAUUAAAACCAGUAAACAUAUUGAAUAUGGUCCCUUCGUGGCUUUUUUCCACAAGAGAAAUAUACAUUUUAUUCAUAGUGUCCCUUUAGACGGUGUUGAGUGAAAAAGAGACAACUAGCUGCAUAUGUGAGAUAAAUCAUGUACCAAAUGGCCAUUCUCUGAUAUACCAAAAUGUUAUAGUCAAAACUCGAAUUGUUUUUUUUAGCCAGCUCAGUGAAGCAGUUAGGAGUAACGCCUAUUUUUUUAUUUUUAUUUUUUCUCCUGAUUGGGUGUGGGAAGAGUUGUUGAAAGUAAAAUCUUAGAGACUUUUACUUAAUAUGCCUUUAAAGGUAAUUCUAGACUAAAACAAAACAGAAAUGUAAAAGCAAAAAUAUCUGCAGAACAAGGAAGUCAUAAUUAUUGUUUUUGCAAUGUUAUUUUCAUGUGUACUGCAAUAGGCUAUAACUGGUAGCUCUCACAGGAGGUGAUUCAUUAAGCUUUGUUACCUGGUAAUGUUUCCUUUUGGGUCAUAACAAAAGGUAGAGAAGGGAAUUAGACCAUUGUUUUAUGUAAAAGAUUUAUAUUAAUAAUCCCUACAGCAUCAAAGAGCUCCAUUGUGAGUCAUGUCACCUUUUUUUGGUAGGCAGAAAAAAUAAAUCAUGAGCCAAUAGGAUGAGCAACCUUUGGCUUUGACUGAUUGCUGUAUUGCAGGACAAUUAUUUACUUAUUCCAAGUCAGAAUAGCACAUAAAUUAACAUCUUGUAACUUCAGUUCCCUUGAAUGCUUUUAAAGGUGUUUUUUUUUGUUUGUUUUUUUUCUAUUUUUUUUUUAUAAUGUUUUAAAGGACACAUGUUUAGCCUUUAACUUUUUUUGUAAAUUGACUUAUCAAGUAUUUAUGAAGCAACAUUCAAAACUUUUUAUUGUUACUGAAAAAACAAACUGCUGUAAUUGCAAAUGCUGUGCACAUUUGAUGAAUAAAGUGACUUUUUUUUAAUGAAA